RNAcentral lists this small RNA (232 nucleotides) under Mycoplasmoides pneumoniae M129. RNAcentral's name for it is "Mycoplasma pneumoniae M129 ncRNA". Lineage: Bacteria; Bacillati; Mycoplasmatota; Mycoplasmoidales; Mycoplasmoidaceae. The record is from RNAcentral.
AUCUCUUCUAUAAUGUGGCCUUUAUUUUGCAAACUGAUGACAAUGUCAGCAAUUACAAAAACAAAACAAAUAAAAAAUAAGGGAAUUACCCCCAAGAAGACCUUUUGUGCUAACGCCAGUUUGGCAAAUCAAGUUCUGAUUUUGCAAUUAUUUUGCUCCAUAUGAAUUACACUACUCCAAGAAUUAUAAGCCUCUCUACAGCUUUAUCUCAAACUUAUGUAAAAUUAGAGAC